ACAGAAACUGUGGAAAGUGUUGAACAGGCCAAGCGUUAUGUUAAGGAGAAACAACGAAAAAGUGGACAUUCUUUGAUUUGAAUGGGCGAGGACCACGACCCUCCCUCCACUGUACUAUUAGUCAUAUUGUACAAAAGAACAAAAAGACUUUACUGUUGCUUUGAGAUGAAUCCAUCAUUUGUCUAGCGUUGGCUGGCUAAGAUAUUUGCAUGUACAUAAAAGCUUCAUUCCUAUCCCAAUUAAGCCGUUGAGUAACUGCUCGGCUGGGUGCACAAGUAUAUUUCAUUCCCAGGCACAGUACAUACUUUACACGAAGUUACACGCAGACAUGCAGUCGACACCAUCAGUGUAUGGCACUGUCCAUGGAUUUAUAUCUGUUAGUCGCAAUUAGCAAAGGCUAUCGAUAUGACUGUACAGAGCUGGGGACCUUUUAUACUACCAACAAGCAAGUUUCCCGAGUGACUGAUUUGAGAACUAGACCUACAGUUUACUGUCUCUUCACAUGAAGAUUACCUUUACAACCUUGGACAUACGUGCUUGCCCUUUGAAAUCCACCAGUCACCAAAGGAAAUUCUUCCGUUUGGAAAAUACAUGCAUUUGGGAUAUCAUCUCAUUCAUCUUCGAAGUACCAUACGUCUGGUAUUUCAUCUUCGCUGAAUUGAAAGAUACUGCAGUGUGACGUGGCAUCAUUGAAGACACAGUUCAUGUAGACCUCGUCCAGAACCACAUGAGAUCCAAGACCUGAGUGCGACUGUACACGUCUCCCAGUGGAUUGUUUGGAUUUACAAGGAACAAUCCCUUCACCCUGAUGCCCUUAGGAAGUAAACAACAACAUAAUUAUGAUUCUAAUCCAGACAUCAUGACAUUCACGCCUUAUAGAUACAAAAAUGUACUCAUGGACUGAAAUGUUUGAAUAUGCUGAAAGAAAUAAACUCUACAACCUUAGCUGUUUUGGUCACAGAUUGAAGCAGUUCUCGUUUUUUAAAGUUUUUUGGCUUCUUCCACUCUAAAGCCCAUAGGAUAGCACAUACUUCCACAAUUUGCACUAAUUUCCUUUGUCAUUGCAAAUCAGAAGUGACAUUAUUAUGUCAUGAUGAGGUCCGUUUGAUUUGUAGUUUAUGGGAUAGAUUGUUUGCUAAACUUUUUUCACUGAGGCAUGUUCAACUAUCUCAACUAAAAUAACGAUGAAACCUAACAGAUAUAAAGUCCUUUGUGAAAAAUGUGUCCCCUACUAGAGAACGUCAUGAUUAGUGGUAGAUUGAAUUUAACAAGGGAGCAUUUUCGCAACCCCUACAGAAGCAUAUUCGUGAAGCCUAAGCAAUAACUAGGAACAUGUUUGAAUAAAGCAGAGUCAUAAAGUCAUCCGAGAAAAAAGGUUGCAGAGAACAAUUUGCCGACAAAAGUCAUUUUGACGCAAUGUAUUUGAAGUGUAUUACUACUGGUUUUCUCACACACAUUGCAAGAAGGUAUCCGCCCCAAAAGAUCAGCUUAUUUUUUCCACUUUGAAUUGGCAGUAAACCAACUCUUCAAACGCAA
This is a long non-coding RNA of Acanthaster planci (crown-of-thorns starfish), 1536 nucleotides long. RefSeq lists it as uncharacterized. The record is from RefSeq and is a predicted model, not a curated record. NCBI's taxonomy places the organism in Eukaryota, Metazoa, Echinodermata, Asteroidea, Valvatida, Acanthasteridae.